RNAcentral lists this unclassified non-coding RNA (218 nucleotides) under uncultured Actinomycetes bacterium. Its description in RNAcentral is "uncultured actinobacterium contains 16S-23S intergenic spacer region". It matches the Rfam family "Bacterial small subunit ribosomal RNA", at positions 976 to 1196 of the family's 1533-position model. The record is from RNAcentral. Lineage: Bacteria; Bacillati; Actinomycetota; Actinomycetes.
UGGGCUUGACAUGCAGGGCAAAGCCGGUGAAAGCCGGCGCUCUACGGAGCCUGCACAGGUGGUGCAUGGCUGUCGUCAGCUCGUGCCGUGAGGUGUUGCCUUAAGUGGCGCAACGAGCGCAACCCUUGUCCUUAGUUGCCAGCGGGUAAAGCCGGGAACUCUAGGGAGACUGCCGGUGCCAAACCGGAGGAAGGUGGGGAUGACGUUUACCGACAGCU